UGGAUCCAGACUUUGAUCCUGGCUCAGGAUGAACGCUAGCUACAGGCUUAACACAUGCAAGUCGAGGGGAAACGAUAUUGGAAGCUUGCUUCCGAUAGGCGUCGACCGGCGCACGGGUGAGUAACGCGUAUCCAACCUGCCCAUCACUUGGGGAUAACCUUGCGAAAGUAAGACUAAUACCCAAUGAUAUCUCUAGAAGACAUCUGAAGGAGAUUAAAGAUUCAUCGGUGAUGGAUGGGGAUGCGUCUGAUUAGCUUGUUGGCGGGGUAACGGCCCACCAAGGCGACGAUCAGUAGGGGUUCUGAGAGGAAGGUCCCCCACAUUGGAACUGAGACACGGUCCACACUCCUACGGGAGGCAGCAGUGAGGAAUAUUGGUCAAUGGACGAGAGUCUGAACCAGCCAAGUAGCGUGCAGGAUGACGGCCCUAUGGGUUGUAAACUGCUUUUAUAAGGGAAUAAAGUGGGAGUCGUGACUCCUUUUGCAUGUACCUUAUGAAUAAGGACCGGCUAAUUCCGUGCCAGCAGCCGCGGUAAUACGGAAGGUCCGGGCGUUAUCCGGAUUUAUUGGGUUUAAAGGGAGCGUAGGCCGGAGAUUAAGCGUGUUGUGAAAUGUAGAUGCUUAACAUCUGCACUGCAGCGCGAACUGGUUUCCUUGAGUACGCACAAAGUGGGCGGAAUUCGUGGUGUAGCGGUGAAAUGCUUAGAUAUCACGAAGAACUCCGAUUGUGAAGGCAGCUCACUGGAGCGCAACUGACGCUGAAGCUCGAAAGUGCGGGUAUCGAACAGGAUUAGAUACCCUGGUAGUCCGCACGGUAAACGAUGGAUGCCCGCUGUUGGUCUGAAUAGGUCAGCGGCCAAGCGAAAGCAUUAAGCAUCCCACCUGGGGAGUACGCCGGCAACGGUGCAACUCAAAGGAAUUGACGGA
RNAcentral lists this ribosomal RNA (926 nucleotides) under uncultured organism. RNAcentral's name for it is "bacterial SSU rRNA". It matches the Rfam family "Bacterial small subunit ribosomal RNA", at positions 1 to 917 of the family's 1533-position model. The record is from RNAcentral.